Molecule: long non-coding RNA, 1761 nt
Filed under: Solanum tuberosum (potato)
Lineage: Eukaryota; Viridiplantae; Streptophyta; Magnoliopsida; Solanales; Solanaceae
Description: long non-coding RNA (STUB_LNC000112)
Source: RNAcentral
AUCUCAAUCUAUAUAAUUAUGGGUGGCAGCUCAGGGGAUGAAAUACCUAGCAUGGGCCGAACUCAAUCUAUAUAAUUAUGGGUGGCAGCUCAGGGGUUGAAAUACCUAGCAUGGGCCGAUCUCAAUCUAUAUAAUUAUGAGUGGCAACCCAGGGGCAAAAGCCUAGCAUGGGUCGAUCCCGAUUUGUAUAUUUAUGAGGAUAGCAUUCCAGGGGUUAAAUGCCUAGCAUGGGUCAUUCUCUUCUACCACUGACCAGUUGCUCACUUCUAUUACAUGCCUUACAUAGAUUAUGAAGCAGCGAAGAUUAUGAAAAGAAUGUUAUGUAUAGUGAUCCAAGUAUAGUAAUAUAUCACGUGCCCAAGUGCUAAUAGUCAUAUCCACAAAAAAUUGAUUAACGUGUUGAGAAGGGUAAAACAUGGCAUUGUGAUCCUAUAGGUUGUUCCUAGUUUCCAGAUGCCCCAAUUGUUCAUGUGUUUAUAUGUUCUAAUAGUUCACUUGUUCACAUGUUAUCCAUUCUAAUAGUUCACGUGUCAUGUGUUCACUUAUUUUCUUUGACGUGCCAUCUGUUCUCAUAAUUCACCUUUUCAUAUGUGACCUAUUCUCAUAUUUAUCUGUUCGAGUGUCGCAUAAUCUCACAACUCACAUGUCAUUGCCUUCUUGUUAAUGUGUUAAUGCCCUUGAUGGCUCAAUUGUUUUUUUAUUACAUUCUUACAGAUCACUCGCUUACGUGCGUGUCUGCUAGUCCAUUUGCUUAUAUAACUACAUGUGUCCAGUUCACCUGCUUAUAUGGUUGUCUUAUAAUCCAUUUGCUUAUGUGACUACAUGUCUUAUAAAUCAGUUUAUCAAAUGCUACAUGUCUUCACAACUCACUUAUUCACGCGUCACAUGUUCCCAUAACUUACUUGUCCUUAUGUUAAAUCCCAUUUUGUUCUCCUCCACUUGUAGGUUAUAAACUCCAUGUGGCUUAUCAGUUCUUCUGCUAUUAUCCCCUCAUUGCUUACUUGCUUAAGUGAUACAUAUGUUAUAAUAAAGUAUCAUGAUGAAAUAGAGAAAAAAAAGGGAAUUUAAUUAUGUCUCAUUUUAUACCGAUUCAUACUGCUUUGAUAUAUGUAUAUGUGUCAUCCACUUGGGCAAGAAGAGGUACGUCAACUUAAAUGAUCAUAAGUUUUUGCAAUAAGAUCUAUUGAAUGUUUGCAGUUUCCAACUGUUGCUACUCUAAUAUGUCGUGUUCUCUUAUAUGAUUUUCAGUAACUAUAGUGUUUUCAAUUUGCCUUUCAUACGAGUAAAAUUUCUAUAUCUAGUCACGUCCUUUUAUAUUAUGUCAGGGGUGCUGCACUCAAACUGCAGGUACACACGUUUUAGAUGGGAAGUUUCUUGGCGGGAACCCCUUGUAGAUUUUCAUCUAUAGUCAGUGAUACCCAAUUCCACUAAGGGCCUUACAUUUUUCAUAUGAUUUACAUAGAUGGCUUAAGGUACGACGGGGCCUUGUCUCGACAUAUUUAUGGAUCAUGUCAUAUGUUAGAGGUUUCGUAGACUAUGUCCAAAUCAGGUUCUUAUAGUUAGAGUAUGUCUUCCAUACUGCCCUAUGGGUCCACUAAGAUAGCAUAUGCACUGAUGACUUUUAUAUGUAUAAAAUAAUAGCUUCUUAUUCUAGUUGAUGAUCAAUGCAUCACUUAAUAUAUUUUGCUGUUGUCCCUUGUAGGUAUGUUCAGUUAAGUGGUCCGCUCGGUCAUGUGAGGUAUCAAGUUAAGGCACCGAGUG